Molecule: unclassified non-coding RNA, 318 nt
Filed under: Dufourea novaeangliae
Lineage: Eukaryota; Metazoa; Arthropoda; Insecta; Hymenoptera; Halictidae
Description: sAP30-binding protein, transcript variant X2
Source: RNAcentral
GGGAUGCAUCGAUAGCAUUCGACGUCUCGGUUAAUGGGACAAAAAUCCUUUGAUGAUUAACAUGUUAUAAGUUGAUUGCAAUGAACGGAAAGUCAGGUACAGUGUAAUCGAAAAGAUCGGGGUGGAUCAAGAUAGUCAGAUACGGUAUAGUAGUAAAAACAUUCCAACAAACUUUGGGGCAUAGUUAGUGUCUAUAUAGACAGGCAUAUUUGCAUAUACAAAAGCCCUACAACUAAAAGGCAUACAACUCGACGCUAGAUCGUGUUGCUCUGGCAUCUCUCACGGCCACCUAUACCGACUCGGAGGGCGAAGACGGGG